Molecule: ribosomal RNA, 468 nt
Filed under: uncultured bacterium
Lineage: Bacteria
Description: partial 16S ribosomal RNA
Rfam family: Bacterial small subunit ribosomal RNA
Source: RNAcentral
GACGAACGCUGGCGGCGUGCUUAACACAUGCAAGUCGAACGGCAAGGCCCUGCUCUUGCGGGGUGCUCGAGUGGCGAACGGGUGAGUAACACGUGAGUAACCUGCCCUUGACGUGGGGAUAACUUCAGGGAACUGGGGCCAAUACCGGAUAGGAGCCCCCGCUGCAUGGGGGGGGUUGGAAAGUUUAGGCGGUUGGGGAUGGACUCGCGGCUUAUCAGCUUGUGGGUGGGGUAGUGGCCUACCAAGGCAUUGACGGGUAGCCGGCCUGAGAGGGUAGCCGGACCAGUUGGGAUGGAAAUGAGGCCCGGACCCGUACGGGAGGCAGGAGAGGGGUAUGUUACAUAAUGGGAGGGGGCCUGAUGCAGCGACGCAGCGUGCGGGAUGACGGCCUUCGGUUUGUAUACCGCUUUCGCCUGUGACGAAGCGUGAGUGACGGUAAUGGGUAAAGAAGCACCGGCUAACUACGUG